UUCUGCCUCUCACCAUCCAAAACACCCGCACAUUCACUCACCCUCUCAUCAGAACAAAUGAAGACCACCAAAGACCACUCUCAUCAUGAAUCCUAGCUAGUUACGAAUCGAUGAUCACUACUCAUCAAAGACCACCCCGUCGAUCUCUCUUUCUACAUCGAUCACGGCCUCUGUUUUUGACUACCUCUUUCCACCUCUCUCUCCACUACGGGUGCUAUCCACAGCGGUUCUCCCUCGGUCUUGCUCCUGCAAUUUUAGAGGAUUUGUACCACCUCAUCAAGAAGACAGUCUCCAUUAGGAAGCAUUUGGAGAGAUUCAGGAAGGAUAAGGACUCCAAAGAAGCUUCCACCAGUUUGGAGAUAUUUUGCUUCUACAUCUAACUUAUACAAGAUAUCAAACAAAGAGAGGAUUCUGUUGUAAAAGCUGGUGUCCCCGAUGAUGGAAAAGAUUGGCCUCCAUUCUUUCGAAUUAUUCACCAUGAUAUUACCAAUGAAAUUCCUGUACACUCUCAAAGGCUAC
Rosa chinensis is the source of this 519-nucleotide long non-coding RNA. RefSeq lists it as uncharacterized. The record is from RefSeq and is a predicted model, not a curated record. The transcript is spliced from 4 exons. NCBI's taxonomy places the organism in Eukaryota, Viridiplantae, Streptophyta, Magnoliopsida, Rosales, Rosaceae.